Molecule: ribosomal RNA, 1371 nt
Filed under: Nocardia sp.
Lineage: Bacteria; Bacillati; Actinomycetota; Actinomycetes; Mycobacteriales; Nocardiaceae
Description: bacterial SSU rRNA
Rfam family: Bacterial small subunit ribosomal RNA
Source: RNAcentral
CUACACAUGCAGUCGAGCGGUAAGGCCCUUCGGGGUACACGAGCGGCGAACGGGUGAGUAACACGUGGGUGAUCUGCCUCGCACUCUGGGAUAAGCCUGGGAAACUGGGUCUAAUACCGGAUAUGAGCAUGGUCUGCAUGGACUGUGUUGGAAAGGUUUACUGGUGCGAGAUGGGCCCGCGGCCUAUCAGCUUGUUGGUGGGGUAACGGCCUACCAAGGCGACGACGGGUAGCCGGCCUGAGAGGGCGACCGGCCACACUGGGACUGAGACACGGCCCAGACUCCUACGGGAGGCAGCAGUGGGGAAUAUUGCACAAUGGGCGAAAGCCUGAUGCAGCGACGCCGCGUGAGGGAUGACGGCCUUCGGGUUGUAAACCUCUUUCGACAGGGACGAAGCGCAAGUGACGGUACCUGUAGAAGAAGCACCGGCCAACUACGUGCCAGCAGCCGCGGUAAUACGUAGGGUGCGAGCGUUGUCCGGAAUUACUGGGCGUAAAGAGCUUGUAGGCGGUCUGUCGCGUCGAUUGUGAAAACUCACAGCUCAACUGUGAGCCUGCAGUCGAUACGGGCAGACUAGAGUACUUCAGGGGAGACUGGAAUUCCUGGUGUAGCGGUGAAAUGCGCAGAUAUCAGGAGGAACACCGGUGGCGAAGGCGGGUCUCUGGGAAGUAACUGACGCUGAGAAGCGAAAGCGUGGGUAGCGAACAGGAUUAGAUACCCUGGUAGUCCACGCCGUAAACGGUGGGUACUAGGUGUGGGUUUCCUUCCACGGGAUCCGUGCCGUAGCUAACGCAUUAAGUACCCCGCCUGGGGAGUACGGCCGCAAGGCUAAAACUCAAAGGAAUUGACGGGGGCCCGCACAAGCGGCGGAGCAUGUGGAUUAAUUCGAUGCAACGCGAAGAACCUUACCUGGGUUUGACAUACACCGGAAAGCCGUAGAGAUACGGCCCCCCUUGUGGUCGGUGUACAGGUGGUGCAUGGCUGUCGUCAGCUCGUGUCGUGAGAUGUUGGGUUAAGUCCCGCAACGAGCGCAACCCUUAUCUUAUGUUGCCAGCGCGUAAUGGCGGGGACUCGUGAGAGACUGCCGGGGUCAACUCCGGAGGAAGGUGGGGACGACGUCAAGUCAUCAUGCCCCUUAUGUCCAGGGCUUCACACAUGCUACAAUGGCCGGUACAGAGGGCUGCGAUACCGUGAGGUGGAGCGAAUCCCUUAAAGCCGGUCUCAGUUCGGAUCGGGGUCUGCAACUCGACCCCGUGAAGUUGGAGUCGCUAGUAAUCGCAGAUCAGCAACGCUGCGGUGAAUACGUUCCCGGGCCUUGUACACACCGCCCGUCACGUCAUGAAAGUCGGUAACACCCGAAGCCGGUGGCCU